Molecule: ribosomal RNA, 293 nt
Filed under: uncultured bacterium
Lineage: Bacteria
Description: partial 16S ribosomal RNA
Rfam family: Bacterial small subunit ribosomal RNA
Source: RNAcentral
GUGCCAGCAGCCGCGGUAAUACGUAGGGGGCGAGCGUUGUCCGAAGUUACUGGGCGUAAAGCGCGCGUAGGCGGCCCUUUAAGUCUGGGGUGAAAGGUCCAGCGCUCAACGCGGACAGUGCCCUGGAUACUGGGGGGCUUGAGUGUGGGAGGGGAGAGCGGAAUUCCGGGUGUAGCGGUGAAAUGCGUAGAUAUCCGGAGGAACACCGAUGGCGAAGGCAGCUCUCUGGCCUGACACUGACGCUGAGGUGCGAAAGCGUGGGGAGCGAACGGGAUUAGAUACCCCGGUAGUCC